Molecule: ribosomal RNA, 406 nt
Filed under: uncultured bacterium
Lineage: Bacteria
Description: partial 16S ribosomal RNA
Rfam family: Bacterial small subunit ribosomal RNA
Source: RNAcentral
AUUGAACGCUGGCGGCAGGCCUAACACAUGCAAGUCGAACGAGUGGCGGAAGGGUGAGUAAUGUCUGGGACACCGCCUGAUGGAGGGGGAUAAAUACUGGAACCGGUAGCUAAUACCGCAUACCAUCGGAUGUGCCCAGAUGGGUUUAGCUAGUAGGUGGGGUAAGGGCACACCUAGGCGACGCUCCCUAGCUGGUCUGAGAGGAUGACCAGCCACACUGGAACUGAGACACGGUCCAGACUCCUACGGGAGGCAGCAGGGGGGAAUAUGGCACAAUGGGCGCAAGCCUGAUGCAGCCAUGCCGCGUGUAUGAAGAAGGCCUUCGGGUUGUAAAGUACUUUCAGCGGGGAGGCGUUACCCGCAGAAGAAGCACCGGCUAACUCCGUGCCAGCAGCCGCGGUAAUUC